ACAUCUUCUCUGCUGUCAGGAAGAUCCCAUCCACAGAAGUCUGAGGAAUAAAGCCUUGAAGACGGCUGUGGGAAGAGUGAUAAAAGGCCAAUUCUCCAACAAAUAAGGACAAGGAAUCUCCUCCUGAAUCUGCCAGAGAUGGGCGGAUGGAGGAUAUUUAAGGAAU
Molecule: long non-coding RNA, 166 nt
Organism: Talpa occidentalis (Iberian mole)
Lineage: Eukaryota; Metazoa; Chordata; Mammalia; Eulipotyphla; Talpidae
Exons: 3
Source: RefSeq, a predicted model, not a curated record